Molecule: ribosomal RNA, 317 nt
Filed under: Anguispira alternata
Lineage: Eukaryota; Metazoa; Mollusca; Gastropoda; Stylommatophora; Discidae
Description: partial 16S ribosomal RNA
Source: RNAcentral
AUAUAUGAUUACUGUCUUUUUUUUCAUUAAAUUUAACUUACUUAAUAGGUGAAAACUCCUAUAAGCUAACAAGAAGGACGAGAAGACCCUUAGAAUUAUUAAGAUGUAAUGUUACACUAUACAUUACUCCUUUUUGUUGGGGCGACAUAUUUUCAUUAAACAUAAUUAUAUUUAAAUUUACACAAGACUAAUUUACUUAGUAUGAUUUAAUUACCUGAGGGAUAACAGCAUUAUAUUAUUUUAAGCUUGUGACCUCGAUGUUGGACUAGGUAAAAUAACAACCAGUAGUUGUUAUUACUUGUUCUGUUCGAACAUAU